UACGUAGGAUGCUAGCGUUGUCCGGAUUUACUGGGCGUAAAGCGCGCGCAGGCGGCACUGUAAGUAAGGUGUGAAAUCUCCCUGCUCAACGGGGAGGGUGCACUUUAGACUGCAGAGCUAGAGGACGGUAGAGGGGGGUGGAAUUGCUGGUGUAGCGGUGAAAUGCGUAGAGAUCAGCAGGAACACCCGUGGCGAAGGCGGCCCCCUGGGCCGAACCUGACGCUGAGGCGCGAAAGCGUGGGGAGCGAACAGG
Molecule: ribosomal RNA, 253 nt
Filed under: uncultured bacterium
Lineage: Bacteria
Description: partial 16S ribosomal RNA
Rfam family: Bacterial small subunit ribosomal RNA
Source: RNAcentral